Molecule: RNA transcript, 2653 nt
Organism: Paramacrobiotus metropolitanus
Lineage: Eukaryota; Metazoa; Tardigrada; Eutardigrada; Parachela; Macrobiotidae
Gene name: ubiquitin carboxyl-terminal hydrolase 7-like
Exons: 11
Source: RefSeq, a predicted model, not a curated record
CACUGUUAUUAGUCCUUUCACAGAUUUACCUUCACAAUAACCGCUUUACUGUUAUAGAAUAUUGUUAGACCUGAUUGAGACGUUUCGGUGUGUGAUUGACAAUUUUUGACGAUAAUGAACGAUCGAUUCUUUGGCUUUCUAAUCUUUUUGACGAUUCUUUGGCUUUCUAAUCUGUCACAUGCUUCAUUGUGCAGACUUAUAAUGGGUCUCCGCAGUACUGUGUUCCAUACGAUGUUUUACGGAAGUUUGGAUAACUGCACAGCUCCCAUCGACAUCCCGACUUUCUUCCCGAUGCUUUUGCGAAUAUGCUUAGGGUUUUGCUAACACUUACACAACCAAUGGUGCAGCGAUAUCUACACCGAUGCCGUGGAGAAUUUCACCCAGGAUAACGUCUUUUCCACACUGGGCUGCGCGGAUAAAUACGACUUGCCAUUUCUGAUAGUCUUGUGCACUAAUUUCGUCUUGGAUAAGCUCAGCAUCAGCAACUGCCUGGAUCAUCUGGAUAGCGCGGUUCGCUACGCAAGUGCCGCGCCGAACAUCCUGGAGAAAUGUUUAUGCCUGAUUGAUGAAUCAGCCGAAUGUAUCUGGGAAUCCGAGCAGUUCUGUGCGAUUGGACAAGAGGCGCUCCACACCAUUCUUCAGAGAGAUACGCUGACCGCCAGUGAAGACACCAUUUGCUCGUCUGUUGAGACGGGGCGGCAAAUAUGUGCAAACAAAACAGCAUGGACGCUUCCUCCGCCAAUCGGCGUGAAAUGUUGGGUCCAGCGUUGUUUCUCAUCCGAUUUCCGCUCUUAAUACAUGCUCAGCUGCUGGAUGGGCCCCUGAAGAAUGGUUUGCUGCUGCAAUCGGAAGGAUGGGACAUCUUCCACUACAAGCACGCUACAAUUAAACCGCGGCUGCCGUUCCCUACGCAGCCCCGGCAAAAUGUGCGCGCUGAGGGUGUAAUCAAUUAUAUCAUUCCGGAUGUGAGGAAGCUCGAACAGACGCCAAUAUUCAGCGAUUCCAUAACAGUCAGGAAGCUGCUGUGGAAUAUAAGGGUUCAGAAGGACACUGGUGAUGAAAAUACUUAUUUGGGCCUUUACCUCCAGUGUUGUGGGCCUUCUGGCUAUCCAAGAUCAGCUUCCUGGACUUGCCAGGUUAAUGCAGAGCUGCGCCUUAUGUCAUGGAAAACCGAAAUUACGCCAUUUAAGAAAAAGUUGUCCAUGUUGUUCACCAAAGAUAGUUUUAGUUGGGGAUACUCAUAUAUCUCUAUGGAGAAAUUACUGGAUCCAACGAAAGGCUACGUUAAUCCUAGUGACUUCUCACUGAGCCUGCAAGUCCAUGUGGCUGCUGAGCUUCCUGCUGGGCUCGAGUGCAUGCAAUGUGCAGAUGGAUGCACCUUUGUGAAGGACAAUGGCGCUCAUAAAUGAUUUCGAUGACCCAGGAGUUUGUCUUUAUCGCUUAUUAGAUGGGAUGGAUCAUGGAAUGAUUCUAAAUUCUUGUGUUGCUGAAGUGGUUCUUAAGUUUAGUUACCGGCGCAUUACCGGUUCGGUUUGCUUGGCAACUAUGUAUUUCGUUAGUAAUAGUUUGCAACUGGAAAUACUUAGCUUUUAUGAAGCUCCUGUAAACUAGCGCGACUUUGACGUUGCUGUUACAUUCAGCCGAUAUUUAAUGAUGCUCUAAUUAAUGUUUUGAAUUUGACUUCCUUUUUCGGCUUGCUUUGUGUUAGGUUUAUCUAUAAAUAGUUUUUAGUACAGAUUGUACUUACUCCAAGGACAAAUCGGCCAUUGAUGUCAAUAAGACCACCGACACUGAAUACCACGUCACAUCUGUCCGUAAGGACGAGCCAUAGAGAUGUGUCCUUCUUUUGCCUUCCAUAAGGGAUAUCCAUGUAACCGGUAGCGCGGUAUGUACUGUCGAAAGGUGGAGUGCGUACUAUCUUUAUCCAAGGUUUUCAAGUCAAUCGGGUGAGCACGAUAACCUAGUUUUCUGCUUUUCUGUCUAAAAUCUUACCUUGGUAUUUACGAGAACAAACAGCCACGUUCGAAGGAUACAAAUUGUCAUGACCGUUCCAACCAAUGGGGAGAAUUCCCCAACGUACGGCGACUGAGUCCUUAUUGAACUGACCAUGAACAGUAACAGCAUGAAUUCUCGGGCAUACGUGCAAAGCAAAGCGGCCUGAAUUCGCUCAUUAAGGAGGAUGAUGAAACGGCUGAGGUUAUUAUACUCCUUAAUUGUUUGUUCCAGUUCUCCCUCUUUUGCCACUGUGGCCAGGUGCGAUGUCAUAUUGACAAAGCACAGGAUUGUUCCAGCCGCAAUAAAUAUGAAGACGCAGUGCGCAAAUGUCAGUUGACCGUUAAACACGUAAAUGGAAAUUUGUGGGACAGCAGCCAUGAUAUAUGCAGUGUUCGUGGCUACGCCGACACUUCUGAGCGCCAGAAACAACGGAUGUUCCAUCAUCGCAUCAAAACUGAGACUCGGCAGAAAAGCAAUAAUGUUGCUUACACUGGUGCACAGGAAUAGCGCUCCUAAAAUAAUACCCACGAACAUCAGCAGCUUGGUGCUUCGGGAGGUCAUAAUGCGCUCGGCAACGGCAUGAAAUUCGGUUACCCACAACGCAAAAUUCCAGAAUGCGUAGUAAAGUGAUACAGCGGUAAACGGUAUCAGGAACGCA